Pseudopipra pipra is the source of this 7402-nucleotide long non-coding RNA. RefSeq lists it as uncharacterized. The record is from RefSeq and is a predicted model, not a curated record. Lineage: Eukaryota; Metazoa; Chordata; Aves; Passeriformes; Pipridae. The transcript has 2 exons.
GGGGAGGCGGCGCCAUGUUCGGCGAGGAGGCGGCUCCCGGUCGGGAAACCGCCCCGGGCAGCGGGAGCGCUCCGGCGUCUCCCCCAGGCUCGAUGAUCCGGUGGCUCCAGGAGUGUCCGAGUGUCCCGCUCGCCCGGUGUGUCCGUCUGUGCCUCCCUGUCCCUGCACAGCAAACCGGGCACUGGGAACGGGCUGCCCCGUGUUCCCGCACAGCCCAACAGCUCUAGUAAGAGUUAAGUAUUGGAGCAGUUUUACCAACAUCAGUGUUUCCAAAUCACAGAACUCCCAGCUAAACACCUCCUUUACCGGUACCCAGAUGCGAUUCUGCUGUCGCUGAGCUCUUCCGUGGCUGUCAGGGAUGCUGGGGGAACGAGCCCAGUCCAAAACACGACCCAGCUUUGGGAGGAGAGCAAUCCCCGUUGAAGCCUCACAUCCCACGUCCUUCACGGCAGCAAAGAAUGUGUUUUGACAGCUCUGCACCUCCCCACCACAGCCCCAGCCGUGACACACUGUAUUCAGCUUUUAAAACAAGCUUUUCACCUGACACCAGUGACAGGGAACGCUCUCCCUCCACACAGCUCCAAACUAUCCAUUUCUUUUUAUUAACAGCAGAGCAUUAAUCUCAAUUGUGGGCUAUUGAUCUGUGCAUUUUAUCACACUCUCUCGCAUUAUCAUCUACGACAAACUGGACUGUUUGAGUUAUAUUAUCAAUUUAGAGGGGGGGGAAAGUGGGAGGUAUAUUUGAUUUAAUUCCUGAAACAUCUUCAAGAUUCCUCUUAUUCGAAUUCUACUUUGUUUGAGCUUUAGGAGGAAAAAAAAAAAGAUCUUUCAAUGGCCAUUAACAGAGAUAAAUUUUCUCUCUGUUCAAUAACUUUAUAAUUUAGUUCCUACACUAAAAAUUAAUAGAGCCCCAACUCCUAAGUAUCUAAGGGACUGGUGCUGCCCACACAGACGUCUUUCUGUUCAAAUGAACCUUUUACCUGCAGUCCCUGUGUACCUUUCACUCAGGUUCAUUUCAAUCAGACUCAUUUUCUAUUAAAUUUUAAAGAAUAGGACACAAAAUGAGAGAAUUUCUAUAGACCUGCAAUUUUUCUAAAAUGUCUUUUUCAUUUACAAGGCUAUGGGGAAAACCAACUCAAUUUGCCAAAUUUGCAUAAAUAUUAUGUAGAUUUUCCAGGGCUAAUCAUAACCUUAAUCCCCCAUUCUGAUUUGUGUAAUCAAACUUGAAGGGUUUUUAUAUCUUAAGAUAUAAAAUCAUGUGGUUUUUUUCAUACAGCUUUGGUUUUGCCAGACUUCUGCUUGAUCAGAAAUUUUCAUUCUUAAGGCAGCAUUUGAAACAAACAGUUGAUAUUUAUUUUAUCAGCCCGCAGAAUUCCUGCUGUGAGAACAGAAUGUCACCAAAAUCUAAUUCUAUGUUUUUGUCCUCGACGUUGGGGGAAAAUCUGUGAUGCAAGAACACAAUCUAUGAUUUUUUUAAUACGUAUCAUAAAAUAUCCUCCAAGUCCUGUGUUUGACCGCCCCGAGAAUCCCCUCUUCAAAAGUUUCUGACACAGGAGGUUGAAGGCUCCUAGAAAUAAAAAUAAUUAAUUAAUUAAAAAAUAAUUAAGCUGAUUUUCCCCACGAAAUCUGCAGCUGCCACCCCGUCAGCAAGAACCACGAGUAGGUUUCCUGUUUAUAAUUACGCCUCCAAAGUUAUUUGAAUGCAACAGCAUUCAAAACCUGCAAAGGAACAAUAUAUCAGUUCUUUAAUUACAGGAGGAUGGUGGAGCAGCCCGGGACUGGUGUAAAUUCGGGUUGUUUUUGUGGGGGAAACGUUCUCCAGCAGUGCCAGACUCGCCACUCGCAGUCUGCUGCUGCUCUCUGCUGCUUCCCGGCGCCGUGGAGAGGACGGGGGGGGAGCUGGAGGUGGCCACGGCAAGAAAAAUAAAUUAUUUAUUACCAAGGAAAAGCAAAAUGCUGAGGCAGAAGGGCAGGAAAAUCAUUAGGUUGGAAUCUCGCAGGAGCGCUCCGGGAGAAAUCCCACUGCGCUGUGGUUAGCGGGGUGAUUUGCAAGGCCUUCAGAAAAGUAAGGAAAGGAGUUAUUACUUGUUUAAUUCCCUCUGCAAAGUUGCCCAACACAAGUCAUUUUCUAUCUCUGCCACUGAUAUCAUAUAAUGGAGUUUUGAGUCCCUCCACCAGAACUCCAUCCAAAGGAAGGAAGGAGCAAUUCUCCUGGUAGUAUUCUUGAAUAUUCCAGGAUCUGGAUCUGGGUUUUUCCUUGCUGUUGCUGGAGGGAUGUGGGAGCUCAGUCUCUCCUGUCAGGAGUUACAGUGUGCAACCAAAAUUGGGACCCGAAAUUCCUCUAGUCCUGGGCUCAGAUCCCUGGAUAAAAGGGGCAGGAGGCACAGGAAGGAUGCAGAGGACAGAGUCAGAAAGUCCUACAUUUUCAUUAUAGCUCCUGCUCGGCAUCUCUGGGAAUUUAACCUCACUACUACUGGAAUGUGCCCAGUUAUGACACAGGAACAACAUGUAUUUACUAUGUACCACAGUUCAACAGUAAACAUUUAACUAUUAAAAUGUUUUGGAAUGCUGUAUUCCCAGUACAUGUUACAUGGAAUUCAAUGCAGUUUCUAUAAAACAGACUCCAGGAACCGGGAUCUAUGUGCCAGUCCUUGGUUCACUGGAUUCAGUUUAUCUGCUUCCUCCCUGUGCCAGUUUCCAGGCAGGAAUUAAAAAUAACACAGGACAAGCUCUUCAUUCCCUGGAAAAAAUGGCAGUUGUUUUAGGAGCCCAUGUUUUCCUGUCUUUUAGAAAAGACAUUGAUACGUGUUUAUAAAAUAAUGGAUCGUGGUGAAAUCCACCUUUUUCUUUCCCUUCCCAUGUCUUCCAACAGCUCGGGAGUGCAGCAAACUGAAUUCCCUCAGGCUCCUGAAAGAAGUAGGUCAACAGUGUCCAGGCUUUCUAAACAUAUUCUUCCCUCAAAUGCAUCUCCUGGAAAGAAUCACCCAAGUGCUCCACCUUAAUCGAUACAUGUAUGGAUUAACAUUCCUUAAGCAUUAAAGCUUCCACAAAACUGCCUCCCCACCAGCCCUUCCAGUCACUCUGCAGUUUCUCUGGAAUAAGAGGCAAAGGAGUGUUUGUGAACCAAAUAUCAGGAAAUAAUUGAUCUUAUUUUCAAUUCAAGUUCAAUAAUUGAUCUUCGUUUCAACUCACGGGGAGCAGAAUCAGGCCUCAAAUGGAUCUUUUAAAGCUCUUCCUCACAGUAAACUCCUCUUGGAGUGAAAAAAAACCAACACAAAGGUAAACCUGAUUUAGGCUGAAUUAGUAAAUGUUUGGUUCUUGCUUUAAAUGAUGAAGAUAUAUUGAAAUAAAGCAGAUUACACGAUUUGAAGGUAACUCCAGCAGUUGGCCUGGGCCACAGUGGCUGUGUGUGGUUAAUGAUGUUCUGUCCCCCCCCCAGCUGCAGGGGCUGCAUAAUUGUUUUUUCUGUCAACCUAUAAAUUCUUGAGUAACAACAAAAUUAUUGUGAUUUUUCUUGCUAAAUAAUUCAUAUCUCACCAAGCACGUGGACACCCAGGCCCAUGAAUCACUGAGCACGUUACAGUGAGAUCUGAUGGCAUUUCUUCUUGUAAGAAUAAAACCAGCUUUGGGGGUUAAACCUGGUAAAAAUCAGGUGUUAAAAUUUCAAACUUACCUUUUAAGCUUGAAAGUUUCCUUGAUCAAACUUCUCGUCCGCAGGAUUGCUUUUAAUCAUGUUUUGUGGUGUUAAUUCUAUUAAGAUUAUUAAUAUCACUGAAAGUAAUAGAUUGGUUUUCUAAUGAACUAGAACAGGGCUCAUAAACUGUGCUUAAAGUGAUGCAAUUUGCUUUUGAAAUCACUCCAAGUCGUGUGUAUUUUGCUUUUUAAAAGACUUAAAUGCAAAACCAACAUCUUAUUCUUUUCUAGAAAUAAAUCUUUUAAACAAACUUUGGGAUACAUUAGUGACAAUUUUAAUUCUACAUCCCCUUGAUGCAAUGGUGGAGUUGCCACUUUUUCUUAGGUGUAUUUAAACUGAAAAAUACAGCCCAAAAAGUGUAACCUGACAUCUGUUUCCAGAACCAGGGAAAGAAAUCAAGACAACUCUCAGAUUUAUUAACUUACUUCUCUGCAGUGAACAUGAGUAAGGAGCUACAGCAAAAGGCAAUUUAAAUUAAAUGGCCAAAGUAAAUAAUAUAUGAAGCAAAUUCUCCUUUGUUUCAGGCAAAGUUGCUUUAAAGCAGAGGCCUGAGGGCAUUCAACUAUUAAGAAAUAGCUAAAUUUUAUUCAAUAAUAAUGUACAUCAGGGAGGUCUUUAAUUCUGGUUUGCAAAGAGAUUUAGGUCAAUACAAAAGGUAAGUUGAGGACAGAUCCAAAUUCUGCUCAAGUCAGUGGAAGGUCAGGUGGCUCCAGGUGUCCCUGAAGAGUGGAGAAAUGAUUUUUGAGAUAAUAAGAGAGUACUAAUCAAAUACACUUGGGAAUAUCAACCCUGACUAGUAUCUAAAUCCAAUAUUAAUUUACAGUGGGACAAAAAGGUAAGAACUUCACGUCCACCUGGAGGUUUAGCAAGGAUUACAUCAACCAGUGGUACAAGGAGUGAUGUUAUAUCCAAAAAUAUUUAAGCAGGAUGAGCUGCCUGGCCCCUGUUUGCACUCCUAAUCACAAAACUUCUUUCAAACAACCAAACCACCUCUGUUACCACCACUGGAAGGAGACACCACCAGAAAAAAAAACAUUUCUUGGGGUAACUCAUUAGAGCUGCACAGAGCCCGUGGUGAAACAUUUGUCAAACAUACAAAAAAGGGAUAAAAGUGAAAUAUAGUAAUUAAGACCUGGGCUUUAUCGAUUGUGGGGCUCAAGUCAUUUUUCACAGCAAACAUAAGAUUUAAUAAGUAUAAGUAGUUAAAGCUCCUGCCUUGGCUGCUCUCAUUAGCAUGUCAUUGAACUGGUAACAAAGAGCAGCUCCUCGGGUGUUGAUCACCACCUUAUCUUUGAGAGGCAAUUAAGGGCCUCAAUCAUCACAACAAGAUUUGAUUGUGCAGCCCUUAUUGGACAUUGAUCUUUCAGCAGAGCAGUUACAUUUUCCAUUAAUUUACAGUAGCACAGUUUAACUGGGAUACCUGAGCCCCCUGACCCCGGGUGAGGUGGAACACCAAGAGCUCCUUCGGGUUAAGAUGCCCCCAACAGUCAUUAUUGUUUAAAGAGAUGCUCCGAGGAGGAGCCACCUGAUCCUCUGGGUUUAGGCUGAGGUUUCAUCUCUCUGAAGUAGUUAAGUGAGGUGAAACAAAGCUCUCUGCCUUUUUAACAUCGGCUCUCCCUCAUUUAAACAUCAUUCUUGAAUAGGGCAGAGAUAAUUAAGGCUUAGGAGAUGAACUCAGACUUUGUUUCAGAUGGAAGAGCAAACCUGUAAAGGCAGAAGGGUCAUUUUGUGGAGCAGUUAUUUCCCCCAAGAAAGUUUUGGGACAAGGUGCUGUGAGUCCUCUUGGCCCCCAGUAUUUCCAUCCUGCAUUCAAGCCAAAACCUAAGUGAUAAAAAAGAGACACUAAGCAGCGUGUACUUACAGCAAAAGGAGAGUGAAAGUCAGAUGAAACGUUUUACCUUUGAAGAAAAGCAAGUAGGUUUAUAUUCAUACUUGAAAAUUAUUGUAACUCCAGUGUUAUCCCUCAUAAACAGCCAGUUUUCCCUCUGAAAUCCUGUAAGAGCUCCCCCACGAGCCUUAAUGAAAGGAAUAAAUGAUAUUAUAUUUGCACUCUGCCCUCAGACAUCUUCCAGUUCAUCCUUCAGCACGAUCAGCUUCGUAAGAGCAAGAGGUCCAUUGAUUUUCAUGUAAUACAAGAAAAUAUUACAUUUGCUUAAUUGUUACACAGUGAGAUCAUUGAACAAGAAAUCAGGGCCCUAUUUAAUGCUGUGAGCAGCACAGAAUUGCAGGGAUCAAUAGGGUAGUUUGUCAGAGAUGUUCUCCAAGGAGCCUUGCCCAUCACUGUAUGGACAAGGAGGCGUGUUGCCUGCAGUUAUUGAAAAACAGGUAAGCAAAGUCAGCAGUGCCCAUUAUCAGAAAUCAAACAAGCUGCAGUGAGAGCAGCACCAGCUCCAAUGAAGUGCUGUAUUUAUGGUCUGGUAAUUAAAAACCAUUUUAUCAAGCCUGUGUUGAGCCCAAACCUUUACAGCCAGGUAUUGACGAGCUCCGUGGCAAUGAAUGAGCAGUAUUUGACUUUAAACUUAUGAGCUGCGGGUCUUUCAAAGGGAAAAUCAGCUCUGGGAAGAUGCUAAGAGCAACUUUUAUUAUUAAUGAGGGUUCUUGUAAUCCCAUCUCUUCAUCUGGGAGACACAGUAAACUUGUGUCAAGAACAGGCUCCAAAAUUAAACAAAAUGAAACUUCUCUGAUUAAAGUGUUUAGUGUUGCUUUUAGCAAAGCUGCACUUCAUUAAGUGGGAAGCACUUCCAGGGAAUUCAGGAGAAAAGUAUUUAAAUGACAUUUUCCUGUAGUCAAAGCUUGAUAAUAACUUACUGAGGAGCAGAGAUUGCCCUCCAAAACCAGCACCUGCCAAUUUUACGUUUAUUUUCCCACUUAUGAAAACUGGAAUGACCAAUUUACGUCACCAGACGUGGGAUUUGGAACCAUGAGCAUUAUUUGCUGGCACUAAAACCAAGCAUCAGUAAUAGAUCCUGUACAGGUCUCUCUGUUGUUUGAAAUUAAUGCCCCAUAAUUCCAUAUUUCCACUACCCAAAGAGCUCCCCAAAAGCUUCUUCUCUGCCCAGGUUUCCAACUGAAGUCAUUCUGUCAUUACAUGUGCCUGUAAGUUUUGCUGUUAAAACUGGAGAAAUCAGUUAUUUGCAUCAAAAAAAUGAGAGUAGUGUUCUUAUUCUCCUGUGUUAAUUAAAAAUAUCAGCAAUUUGUAAAUUAGCACAGGGGACUGAUUCUUCUAGAUCACUUAGGUUUUGUUACUUACCUAAAAAGCAAUUAAAAUUAAAAAUAAUAACACAUCUGGAGUUCCAAGAAUUGCAAAAGAUACGAGCAUCAAAUGUAUUUUAGAUCUUUUAUUUAAAUAUCAUUUAAAGAAAUGUGAUACAGCCAUUUUGAACUUCUCAGGCUCUUCCAGGUGAUUGUAAAGUCAGUGCCACAAAUUCAUUCAGACAAAGUUCCAACUCUAACAAUUAGUGCAUUGUGAAGCAUCCUGUCAAGAGUCUAAACGUGAGCAGCUUCAUCUUUUCAGAGACAUUCUGAAAAUGCCAGUGUGUUCAUAUUCACAUUUGACUUGUCCACAGGCAGUUCUCUAAUUUGGUAAAUGAUCUUUAAAUUAUCACAAGCUGUACCAGUCAGUGACUGCCAUAAACACCCUUAGAAAUAUUAAUUCUUCUCCCAAAGCUUCUACCUUUUCAACUUUACUGACCUCUGCAGAAAUAAAUC